Molecule: ribosomal RNA, 247 nt
Filed under: uncultured Actinomycetes bacterium
Lineage: Bacteria; Bacillati; Actinomycetota; Actinomycetes
Description: uncultured actinobacterium partial 16S ribosomal RNA
Rfam family: Bacterial small subunit ribosomal RNA
Source: RNAcentral
GACGAACGCUGGCGGCGUGCUUAACACAUGCAAGUCGAGCGGUAAGGCCCUUUCGGGGUACGACGAGCGGCGAACGGGUGAGUAACACGUGGGUGACCUGCCCUUAGCUCUGGGAUAAGCCUGGGAAACUGGGUCUAAUACCGGAUAUGACUCCAUGACGCAUGUUGUGGGGUGGAAAGCCUUGUGCGGCUGAGGAUGGGCCCGCGGCCUAUCAGCUUGUUGGUGGGGUGAUGGCCUACCAAGGCGA